Molecule: ribosomal RNA, 38 nt
Filed under: uncultured Cortinarius
Lineage: Eukaryota; Fungi; Basidiomycota; Agaricomycetes; Agaricales; Cortinariaceae
Description: partial 18S ribosomal RNA
Source: RNAcentral
AGCUUUAGCCUUCGUAGGUGACCUGCGGAGGAUCAUUA